UACGAUCUUGGUGUGCCACGAGA
Molecule: non-coding RNA, 23 nt
Filed under: Arabidopsis thaliana (thale cress)
Lineage: Eukaryota; Viridiplantae; Streptophyta; Magnoliopsida; Brassicales; Brassicaceae
Source: RNAcentral